AUUGAACGCUGGCGGAAUGCUUUACACAUGCAAGUCGAACGGUAGAGGGGGCAACCCCUUGAGAGUGGCGAACGGGUGAGUAAUAUAUCGGAACGUGCCCAGUCGUGGGGAUAACGUAGCGAAAGUUACGCUAAUACCGCAUACGAUCUAAGGAUGAAAGCGGGGGAUCGCAAGACCUCGCGCGAUUGGAGCGGCCGAUAUCAGAUUAGGUAGUUGGGUGAGGUAAAGGCUCACCAAGCCAACGAUCUGUAGCUGGUCUGAGAGGACGACCAGCCACACUGGAACUGAGACACGGUCCAGACUCCUACGGGAGGCAGCAGUGGGAAUUUUGGACAAUGGACGCAAGUCUGAUCCAGCCAUUCCGCGUGCAGGAUGAAGGCCCUCGGGUUGUAAACUGCUUUUGUACGGAACGAAACGGUGAGCUCU
This 426-nucleotide ribosomal RNA is filed under the name uncultured bacterium. RNAcentral describes it as "bacterial SSU rRNA". It matches the Rfam family "Bacterial small subunit ribosomal RNA", at positions 30 to 461 of the family's 1533-position model. The record is from RNAcentral.